Molecule: transfer RNA, 72 nt
Filed under: archaeon
Lineage: Archaea
Description: tRNA-Ala
Rfam family: tRNA
About the family: Transfer RNA (tRNA) molecules are approximately 80 nucleotides in length.
Source: RNAcentral
GGGCUCUUAGAUCAACGGUAGAUCGCUUGCAUGGCAUGCAAGAGGCUGGGGGUUCGAAUCCCUCAGAGUCCA